This 395-nucleotide unclassified non-coding RNA is filed under the name soil metagenome. RNAcentral describes it as "partial contains 5.8S ribosomal RNA, internal transcribed spacer 2, and large subunit ribosomal RNA". The stretch from base 1 to 120 matches the Rfam family "5.8S ribosomal RNA", at positions 35 to 154 of the family's 154-position model. The record is from RNAcentral.
GAUGAAGAACGCAGCGAAAUGCGAUAAGUAAUGUGAAUUACAGAAUUCAGUGAAUCAUCGAAUCUUUGAACGCACCUUGCGCCUUUUGGUAUUCCGAAAGGCACACCUGUUUGAGCGUCAUGAACACCUCAAUCUCCAUCUUUUCUUCGGAUUGAUGGGUGACUUGGAUGUUGAGCCCUGCUGGUAUGCUAUAUCAGCUGGCUUUAAACUUAUUAGCCGGCUCUGUACUGGAUCGGUUUGACUCGACGUGAUAAUAUUAUCGUUGAGGAUGCAUGUCUCAUGCAGCCGGAAAGUAUCAAAGCAGCUUCUAGCUUGCCUUUAGUGCACUUUUACAUUUUAGACCUCAGAUCAGGUGGGACUACCCGCUGAACUUAAGCAUAUCAAUAAGCGGAGGA